UCAACUUGAGAGUUUGAUCCUGGCUCAGAACGAACGCUGGCGGCAGGCCUAACACAUGCAAGUCGAGCGCACCUUCGGGUGAGCGGCGGACGGGUUAGUAACGCGUGGGAACGUACCCUUUUCUACGGAAUAGCCUUUGGAAACGAAGAGUAAUACCGUAUACGCCCUUUGGGGGAAAGAUUUAUCGGAGAAGGAUCGGCCCGCGUUAGAUUAGAUAGUUGGUGGGGUAACGGCCUACCAAGUCUACGAUCUAUAGCUGGUUUUAGAGGAUGAUCAGCAACACUGGGACUGAGACACGGC
RNAcentral lists this ribosomal RNA (300 nucleotides) under Paracoccaceae bacterium. Its description in RNAcentral is "Rhodobacteraceae bacterium (marine metagenome) partial 16S ribosomal RNA". It matches the Rfam family "Bacterial small subunit ribosomal RNA", at positions 1 to 330 of the family's 1533-position model. The record is from RNAcentral. Lineage: Bacteria; Pseudomonadati; Pseudomonadota; Alphaproteobacteria; Rhodobacterales; Paracoccaceae.